Molecule: ribosomal RNA, 443 nt
Filed under: uncultured bacterium
Lineage: Bacteria
Description: partial 16S ribosomal RNA
Rfam family: Bacterial small subunit ribosomal RNA
Source: RNAcentral
CCUACGGGGGGCAGCAGUGGGGGAUAUUGGACAAUGCGGGAAACUCUGAUCCAGCGACGCCGCGUGAGUGAAGAAGUAUUUCGGUAUGUAAAGCUCUAUCAGCAGGGAAGAAAGAAAUGACGGUACCUUUGUAAGAAGCCCCGUCUAACUACGUGCCAGCAGCCGCGGUAAUACGUAGGGGGCAAGCGUUAUCCGGAAUUACUGGGUGUAAAGGGAGCGUAGACGGAAAUGCAAGUCUGGAGUGAAAGGCGGGGGCCCAACCCCCGGACUGCUCUGGAAACUGUGUAACUGGAGUGCAGGAGAGGCAGGCGGAAUGUCUAGGGUAGCGGUGAAAUGCGUAGAGAUUAGGAGGAACACCAGUGGCGAAGGCGGCCUGCUAGACUGUAACUGACGUUGAGGCUCGAAAGCGUGGGGAGCAAACAGGAUUAGAUACCCCUGUAGUC